RNAcentral lists this small RNA (571 nucleotides) under Pan troglodytes (chimpanzee). RNAcentral describes it as "processed transcript". The record is from RNAcentral. Lineage: Eukaryota; Metazoa; Chordata; Mammalia; Primates; Hominidae. RNAcentral also lists the same sequence under 1 other name.
UUGAAACUCCAGAGAAAGCAAACAAAAUAGUAAAGCUAAAACAUUUUGAGAAAUUUCAGGAUACAGCAGAAGCAUUAGCAGCAUUCACAGCUCUGAUGGAGGGCAAAAUCAAUAAGCAGCUGAAAAAAGUUCUGAAGAAAAUAGUAAAAGAAGCCCAUGAACCGCUGGCAGUAGCUGAUGCUAAACUAGGAGGGGUCAUAAAGGAAAAGCUGAAUCUCAGUUGUAUCCAUAGUCCUGUUGUUAAUGAACUUAUGAGAGGAAUUCGUUCACAAAUGGAUGGAUUAAUCCCUGGGGUAGAACCACGUGAAAUGGCAGCUAUGUGUCUUGGAUUGGCUCACAGCCUGUCUCGAUAUAGAUUGAAGUUUAGCGCUGAUAAAGUAGACACAAUGAUUGUUCAGGCAAUUUCCUUGUUAGAUGACUUGGAUAAAGAACUAAACAACUACAUUAUGCGAUGUAGAGAAUGGUAUGGCUGGCAUUUCCCUGAAUUAGGAAAAAUUAUUUCAGAUAAUUUGACAUACUGCAAGUGUUUACAGAAAGUUGGCAUCCUUUUCAUUGGCUUUCUACUUUUUCU